This 460-nucleotide ribosomal RNA is filed under the name uncultured bacterium. RNAcentral describes it as "partial 16S ribosomal RNA". It matches the Rfam family "Bacterial small subunit ribosomal RNA", at positions 338 to 795 of the family's 1533-position model. The record is from RNAcentral.
CCUACGGGAGGCAGCAGUGAGGAAUAUUGGUCAAUGGACGAGAGUCUGAACCAGCCAAGUAGCGUGAAGGAUGACUGCCCUAUGGGUUGUAAACUUCUUUUAUAUGGGAGUAAAAUGUUCCACGUGUGGGAUUUUGUAUGUACCAUAUGAAUAAGGAUCGGCUAACUCCGUGCCAGCAGCCGCGGUAAUACGGAGGAUCCGAGCGUUAUCCGGAUUUAUUGGGUUUAAAGGGGGCGUAGGUGGAUUGUUAAGUCAGUUGUGAAAGUUUGCGGCUCAACCGUAAAAUUGCAGUUGAAACUGGCAGUCUUGAGUACAGGAGAGGUGGGCGGAAUUCGUGGUGUAGCGGUGAAAUGCUUAGAUAUCACGAAGAACUCCGAUUGCGAAGGCAGCUCACUGGACUGUAACUGACGCUGAGGCUCGAAAGCGUGGGGAGCAAACAGGAUUAGAUACCCGUGUAGUC